CGUUGUCUUACGCAUAACUGGUCAUGAGGCAAAAAAGUAUUUUAAUUUCUCACGUUGUGAAGUUGCCAUUCGGUAGUUGCUCAAAAUUCAGGGAAGGAUGAAUUUUAUAAAAAGGCGGUCAGUUUUUUGUCGACCAAUUUCAUGGUACUCAUCCUUCCAUUCUUGUAUGAUGUUUGGGCGAAUUAGACGUAGAGCAUCAUCGAUGGAAAAGAUUAUAUUUUAAAAUUGAGCCUCACGCGCAUAUCAGCCCUUUCAUUUAAACUGUAACCGCAAUAGUCUUGGUACUCAGUUCAAGUGGCAUUCAUCAAGCAGAGAAUCAUUUAAAAUAUCAUAGAUGUCAAAAACACACAUGUUAUUCGGAUCUUUGUUUUUGAUUAACAUUAACGCCGAUUUGCUGUCAGAGAAGAUAACGAAUUUUAAUGUCCCUAGGAGUAAUUAUCGGGAUAUCUAUCUACCGAAAGGCUGGAAUUUAUGGAACCGCCUGUGGCAAGUCAUUCUCUCGGUAGUAAUUUAAUUGUUGCGGUUAUGCAGAUCGAAGACUUGAGUAAGGUAAACUGACUUCCCAUUCAAAAGCAAUAUUAUAGAUUUGAGGAAACUUAGAGCUAAAGUACUACCAGUCCUGGAAUGGUCGUUAGAGUGGAGGGUUUUGCCCCUAUUGUUCGAGACAGUGUCGGCAAAGUAAGUGUGUCUCGAAUUGAAAUCACUAGCAAGAACUACCUUAUGGAAAUCACAAACUUGUUGCAUUCCGUGACGGGAAAUGAAACGUAUCUACUUUCGUCGAUUGUUUGUUUAUCACUUGAAGACGCUUCCGGGUUGAAGGAUUCGAAAAUCCCAGCACAAACAUUGAAAAUAAUAAAGAAAUAGGGCAUGCCUAGAGGGAAAAUUAGUGCUCCGGUACAAGUGAAGGCGGCGUGUGAGCGACCUAAGUAAGAGUAAUAAAGCACUAAACCAACAACAACAAGUGCUAAAAAGGAAAGGAGGACGCACCCGUCCUUUCAAUGGUCGCGGUGCGUUGUUAAUGCAUAUCGCCAAAAUCUAUGAUAUAAUGACGAAAUGGAAAUAACUGGUGAAGAGGAAAUCUUGUUUAUAGAUAUAGGGACGGACGAUAACAAAUACAAUAAUGAGCUUGGACGUACAAGAAAAGAAAUGGUAAUUAUUAAACUUUGAAACGGAAACUAGAAACGAAUCAUUGAAAGAAGAAGAAGGGCAAAUAAUCAGAGAUUAGCAAGAGCGCAGGAACGCAGUCAUACAUAAGAAAGCCGGCCCUCAAAGCGCAAUCAAGCGGUACGUACCAAGUAAUCCUUGCAGAAAAUUUCGAGUGGAGCGUUAAGAAAACAAAACAGAGAAACUGAAGUCCCCAAAAACACCCAAAUUAAACAUCGAGUCAGAAAAAAGCUGCGGAAAAUAGCCAAAACCGGAAAACGAUAACGAGAGCACGACUUAGGCAAGAUUUACAGGAUUUACAACAGAAUUGGGGUUACAGAGAUUGCCAAAUUCUUUGGUAAAAAGUACUCCAUAUCUUCAACACGCACUGGAUUUUCGAAAAAACCCAAGUUAUUUUGUCAAAUAUAAACUUUGUAAUCAACCUUGGCCGCCUAGAGAAAUUCGAGGAAAAAACUUGUAUUCACUCAUAUCCAACCAUUGAAUAAGCAACAGAGGCUUAGCGCAUCUAUUGUGUCUUAUACCCAGCACUGUAAGAUGGGGGUAAACUCAUUUUGUUUUUUUUC
Long non-coding RNA from Glossina fuscipes, 1727 nucleotides. RefSeq lists it as uncharacterized. The transcript has 3 exons. NCBI's taxonomy places the organism in Eukaryota, Metazoa, Arthropoda, Insecta, Diptera, Glossinidae. The record is from RefSeq and is a predicted model, not a curated record.